This 942-nucleotide ribosomal RNA is filed under the name Triticum aestivum (bread wheat). Its description in RNAcentral is "partial small subunit ribosomal RNA". The record is from RNAcentral. Lineage: Eukaryota; Viridiplantae; Streptophyta; Magnoliopsida; Poales; Poaceae.
AUGUCGGAUGGCUGGUCAGAUAAAAGGGGUCGCCCCUUGAUCAACUUCCUUGUUAACAGUCCGGAGGGCACUUUCUUCUUGGAGUCGGUUGAUGCCUCAAGUGAACCACAUGAUGCUCAAAUGAUAGUUGAUCUGCUAGAGAAGAGAAUUAUGGAAAUUGAGAAAGAAAAUCUUGUGCAAGUUGUCACCGAAAAUGGUGUGAACUACAAGGCAGCAGGCCACCUUCUAGAGUUGAGGUUCCCUACACUAUAUUGGAGUCCUUGUGCAUGUCAUUUCUUGGAUCUAAUGCUGGAAGACAUAGGGAAGUUGAAGGCAUUCAAGAAGCCUAUUGCACGGGCUAGACGUGUCACAACUUUCAUCUAUAGGCAUGGAAGAAUUCUUAGUCUAAUGAGGAAGGCGACGAAUGGGCUAGAUCUUCUGAGACCCGCAGCCACUCGUUUCGCCAUGGCCUUCCUUACACUGAAGAGUUUGGUGAGGCACAAGGCAGCUUUGAGAAGUAUGUUUACAUGUGCAGCAUGGGCUGGAAGCAAAGUGGCAAAAACACAAGCUGGCUUGAAUGUGCAAGACAUUGUGCUCUCAGCUGAGUGGUGGCAUUCAAUUGAGGACUACCUUAGAGCUUCAACACUGCUUCUUCGAGUGCUUAGGGUAGCGGAUGGUGAUGAGAAGCCUGCCAUGCCAGAGAUUUCAACACUUAUGCUUUAUGCAAAGGAAAGGAUCAAUCAAAGCUUCCCCCAACAAAAUAAGCAACCUUUGCUUAAGAACAUCUUGGGCAUUGUUGAGAACCGUUGGGAGACUCAAAUGGAUCAUCCAUUGUAUGGGGCUGCCCUAUAUUUGAACCCAGGAAAGUUUUUCCCUAUUGUAAAGAGGAAUUAUGAUGCCUUGUAUGGGGAGCUAAGGAGCUGCUUUAAUGAUGUGCUUGCAAAAAUGGUACGUGGGAUUUGA